RNAcentral lists this long non-coding RNA (24393 nucleotides) under Coffea arabica (coffee). RNAcentral's name for it is "long non-coding RNA (CARA_LNC002660)". The record is from RNAcentral. Lineage: Eukaryota; Viridiplantae; Streptophyta; Magnoliopsida; Gentianales; Rubiaceae.
CAUUAAUGGCACGAAUUGUAGCCCCGAAACCCUGGCCGGAAAUGAUACGAGAAUGACAAUUGUUCAUCCAAAACCACAAGGCAGUUUUGAAUGAAAUAACAUUAUCCCUGGCUACAAGUUCAGGUUGACUUAGUCCAUUGAACCCAAUACUUUGUCCUGCUGGUCCAUAGUUGAAGUUCCAUGAUAUUUGUAGUGGACCGCGGCCGUAAUACCCCUUGCCUAGCACACAUGGACACUGAGUGUUGUUCUUGUCACAGUAGUUUUUAGACGGGCCGUUUAUCUCUUCUAUAUAGCACAUAUCUGCAUGAUAUAGAGAAGUCGUAUUAGUUAUCAUUCCGUCGAAUUGCCAAAAAAGAAAAAAUGGACGUUAGGUAAGACAAGGAUUGUCGGAUGAUAUGAUAACGAAAAAUGUAGAAAACAAAUUUUAUGAGUUCUAAUAACAAUUAAUUGCAAAAUUAUAGAAUUGAAAGGAUUUAAGAAUCACAAACAAAAAUAUUUAUGUGGGAGAAAAGAGAAUAAAUAACUUAACUCAAAAUGUCAUUAAUAUUUCAAACAAAGAAGAAAAUCUCACCACAAUAAAAAUCUAAUCAAUUUUCUAUAGACUAUUUUAGGCUCUCUUAAAUUUUUAGAAAAUACUCCACCUAAUACUCUAUUGAUAAUUUAUCAAAAUCGUUGAAUAAGAAACAACAUGAUUAAUUAUGAAAUAAAACUCCAAUUACUAAAUAAUAAAAUUACUAGAAAUUGGCUUCAAUAAAACUAAUGAUAAUUAAAUAGAAAAGUUUUGAAGCUUGGUUUAUUUUGCCAAAAAAAGAAAAAGAAAAGAAGAGCCAUCAAUAUUUUUGAAUGGACCACAAGUGAUUUAAAAUUUACAAAGUUGUAAGUAAUGAUUUAAAAUUUACAAAGUUGUAAGUAAUCACAUGCUUACUAAAUUAUAAAGUUGACUGCUACAACAAGGUAAAAAGAACGGAAAGUAAUAAUUUCUCGGGUUAAUCGUACUUUAUCCCCUUUAAGUAUAGACCCUUUCUCACUUUACCCCCCAACGUUUGUUUUUCCUCAGUCUACCCCAAAAACUAACAGUCAACUCUAAUGGACAUAAAUGGAAUAUUGAAAAGACAAUAAUAUCCUUAUGAAAAUACUGAACAACCCAAAAUACCCAUAGAUGCUAGUUUAUGAAAUGCAAGUUUCCAAAAUUACCCUGGAAUAAUAGAGGGAAAUUUCCCUCCAUCUGGCACGGGACAAAAAAAAAAAAGACCAGCUCUUUAUAUACCCAUUGUUGAAUAAAAGACUAGCUCUUUAUGGCUUUCGUCUAUUAUACUUACAAAGUACCCAUUUUUCUUAAAUACUAAUUUAUUUGUCGGAUAACAUAAAAAUAAACCCGUUGUUGAAUAAAAGAGUUCCACUUUUCAAUGCUUUCGUUCAUUAUAAGAACAGAGUACCCAUUUUUCUUAAACAAAAAUUUAAUUAUCGGAUAUAAUAAAAAUUAACUCGUUGUUGAAUAAAAAAUCAACUCUUUAUGGCUUUCCUCCAUUACAACAACAUAGUACCCAAGGUGCCUUAAAUAGAAAUUUAUUUAUUUGAUAAAAUAAAAAUAAAUCCAUUAUUGAAUACAAGAUCAGGUCUUUAUGCCUUUCGUCCAUUAUACUCACAGAAUACCCAAGGUACCUUAAAUAGAAAUUUAUUUAUCGGAUAAAAUAAAUUAAAACCCAUUAUUGAAUAAAAGACCAGCUCUUUAUGACUUUCGUCCAUUAUACUCACAGAGUACCCAUUUUCCUUAAAUACUAAUUUAUUUGUCGAAUAACAUAAAAAUAAACCCAUUGUUGAAUAAAAGAGCCCCACUUUUCAAAGCUUUUAUCCAUUAUAAGAAUAGAGUACCCAUUUUUCUUAAACAAAAAUUUAGUUAUUAGAUAUAAUAAAAAUUAAGUCGUUGUUGAAUAAAAAACAAGUUCUUUAUGGCUUUCCUCCAUUACAACAACAUAGUACCCAAGGUGCCUUAAAUAGAAAUUUAUUUAUCGGAUAAAAUAAAAAUAAAAAAAGACCAGUUCUUUAUGCCUUUCGUCCAUUAUGCUCACACAGUACCCAAGGUGCCUUAAGUAGAAAUUUACUUGUCGGUUAAAAAUAAAUUUAAACCCGUUAUUGAAUAAAAUAUCAGUUCUUUAUGACUUUCAUUCAUUAUACUCACACAGUGCUCAUUUUCCUUAAAUUCUAAUUUAUUUAUCGGAUAACAUAAAAAUAAACCCGUUGUUGAAUAAAAGAGCCCCACAUUUCACAUUUACAGUUAGAAUCCCCUCAACUUUUCCUAUCCCCUUUCUGCUUAACUGCAACGCCCAACAAGUCUUCAGAUUCCAGGUCACAAAAGACCUUUACACGUGCCCAUCCAACACAUUUUCCCUUUCGUUUGUGGCCACAAUCACUUACACCUCCUGUUCCCCCACCUUUCCACACCUCUUCUUUGACUAAUAAACAUAUCGCAGCAACAUCCCUGUUUCUAAGGCUUCAUAACUGCUUUUCAAUUUUUUCAUGCUCAUUUGCCAAUUUUUCAUGCUCCCUUUGCAAGUACAUUAGUUUCUCCUUUUGCUCCACCAGUCUAGAUUGCAGCACUGCACUUACUUCUUUUGUUUUGCUACAAACUUCAGGAUCUACCCAUGAAAAGUGCCCACAUGCAUGUCGGUUCUAAAUAAAAGAAAAAAAGUUGUUUAAACUCUUUCUAACUUAUUCAGGUAUAGAGCCAAAUUAAAGACAAUAUUAACAAAUUAUUAAUGAAAAAUUCUUACAUUGUAAUUUGAGCAGCCGUAAAAUCUUCUUCCCGGAUUUUCAAGUGUCCAAAAGGUGCACAAUGGUGCCUCUUUACCAUAUCCACACAUUUUUUGGGGUGAUCUUUCAACAUUAUUUGAAGCACUUUGUGACAUUUUAUGAUGCUUUUGGUUGACAAAGAGAAAUUUUAGGAACUUUGGAGAGAAAUUUUAGGAACUUUGGAAUAUGCUAAAAUGUAUGAGAAAAAUUGGCUGCAAAAUACCACCUUUUGUAGAACCCAACCAACGGCUAAAACCAACUAACGGCUCUUUGAGGGAAAAAGUAGGCUAAAAGCAUCAGACACCAUUGAGGGGCAUUUUUUUCAGCUAAAACCAACGGCCCUUUUCGUAUGGCAAUUAAUGGUGCAAUUGCUGACCGGGGGAGGGGGGUAAACUAAGGAAAAACAAACGUUGGGGGGUAAAAUGAGAAACGGCUUAUACUUAAAGGGGAUAAAGUGCAAUUAACCCUAAUUUCUCUAUCCAAUUAUAAGUGGCACCCAUAUUCAUGAUAAAUUAUUACAAUAAUAAGUAUUUCUUGUUAAAGUUUUAGUUUUUGUAGAAAGUUCUUGGAUAAUAUUGCAAAGAAAAAUAGUCAAAACUUGGGUAGAUCCGGUUUUCAAAAAUCCAAUAGACCAAAGUGUGCUCUACUAUCUCACCAAAUGGUGUGACACAAUUUGGACUAUUGAAUUUUUGAACAUGGAACUUACCCAAGUGUGAGUCCAGAAAAAUAAUCUAUAUGUUAUUGUACCAACAUUUAGAAAAGUUACUAAAAAUAUUUUAUAGAAAGUUCCAAAGUAAUUCUCUUUGGUAGAGUUGUGGAAAACACUUACGUCCAGUCUCAUGAGUGACAUGAGCAAAGAAAGCAGCAACCUCCCUUUUAGAAUCAUCAGCAGAACCAGCAGUUCCAAACUUAGAAUACGACUUCUGAGCUUCAAGAAAUGCCGAUCGAGUAUAGAACCCUUUUCCAGCACAACCCGAAGCAGCUUGGUUAGCAAUCCCAUUAAAGAAAGCGUCCGUGACAAUACCAGCAACUGAAGCACCAUUAUUACCACCGCUGGGUGCAGCAGUGCAAGGGCCGGAUUGGCAGCCGGGGCCACAGUAGUCGUUGCUGGUGCCGCAAUAGCCGAAUUUGCUGCAGCAUAAGUUUGGUGCACAGCCACAGUUUUGACUUGAAAUCAGCUGUGGGAAGGCUCCGAUAAGAACCUUAAUGGAGAAAAUGAUGGUUGGAAAAUUCUUCAUUUUUGUGCUUGAAGGAAGAGAAAUGGAUGUGGGCAGAAGCUGUUUGAGAAAAAAGGGUAUAUAUAGGGAGGAGAACUGGAAAAUGGAUCAGCUUGUGUGAAGAAGGGAGAGCUGUUAUUCUUGAAAAAAUUUAAGUUGACUAAUGAAUGAAAACAGAAAUCACGUUUGACUUUAAUUCGUGCAUUGACUUUGACAGUGUCAAUAAGUGGGAAUUUUUGUUCUUGGUUUCUAGAAUGGUAUUUGUGAAAGAUUGAUUUUGAUCAAUUGAUAUCAAUAAUUUUGGAAUUGAAUAAUGUAGACUCACAAGUCACAACUAUUGUGUGUAUUUUAUGACUUGAAGUUGUCUACAGCAUUUAAUUUAGUGCUCAUUAAUACAUUAACUUGCCUGACUAUGUUUUAGUCAUACUUCACACUUGCAUUAGAGUUCAAGCACUCAAAAGUAUGAGACAUCUCAAUUUGUCAGUUACAAUUCAUGAAAUAAAAUAGUGUAGAACCUGUGUUAGAAUAAUUUUAGGUUAAAUGGUAAAGAAAAGAAACACUUUUACAUAGCAAUAUAAGUGGCAGUCAGUUUUGGAAAAGCUAAGAAAGGAUUAAAGCCCUGUUUGAUAACCUAAUUUAAUACAUAAAUUUAAUGAAUUCAAAUCUUAAUAUAUUCAGACCGUUUGAUAACCAAAGAUUAAAGGGUAAAUUCCACUUUACCCCCCUGUGGUUUAGCAUUUUUUCACAUAACCCUCCUAUGGUUUUAAAAGCUAUACAUAACCCCCUUAUGGUUUGGAUUAAAGUGUCAAAGUGACGGGAAUGAUCAUUCAUAACGGGGUCACCUAAAAUGUCAAAAAUACCCUUAUGUAAAGUUGAAAUUUAUGUAUUAACCAAGGGGGGUUAUGUGUAUAUUUUGAAAAUCAUAAGGGGGUUAUAUGGUAAAGUAUUAAACCAUAAGGGGGUUAUAUGGUAAAAUAUAAAAAUCAUACGGGGUUAAUGUGUCAUAUAUUUAUAAGGGUAAUUUUGACAUUUUUAGAAGUUCCGUUACGAGUGAUUAUUUCCGUUACUUUGAUACUUUAAUCCAAACCAUGAGGGGGUUAUGUAUAGGUUUGGAAACCAUAAAGGGGUUAUGUAAAACAAGGGAAAACCACAGGGGGGUAAAAUGUAAUUUACCCAAGAUUAAACAUCUGAAUUAAUUAAUUGUUAUUGAAUUUUCUAGGCAAAACUUAUUCUCAAAAUUAAAUGAUAAGUUAUUCACUUAUCAUUGAAUAUGAUAUGCAUUCAAAUAUAUUAGAUUUAAUACUUAACAACUCAAUAAUUUAACGAAUUCAAAUUUCAAAUUUCAAAUUUUAGACUUCAAUUUUCACACUUAACUUUUAUCAAACGCAUCCUAAUUAGGCCACUUGCAUAUCAUGAAUGACAAAACUAUGUGGCUUCUGCUAGUACACGUUACGAUAGCAUUCCACUUCACGUGUUUGUUGGGGAUACUGGCAUGUCCAUUUGCAUCAUGUCCCAUUUCAUAACAAAAUAUUAUAUUUUAAAUAUAUAUGAAAUAUUUAAUUUACAUAUGUUAAUUUUUUAAUACAAUAAUAUAAUGUACUUGUAAAUCAAAUAGUAUCAAGUAAAAUAACUACAUAGAAUGCUUUGAACUGCAGUGCCCCUGCUAGAUUGAAUCUUUAACAAAUUGAAUGCUUUUAACAUUUUCAUUCAGGAUUUCAGUGCUAUAAUUUAUAAACAGUAUUUCCAAAAAAGAAUUGUUAGUGAAGAUAUCAAAUUGGUGCCCCUAGUAAGUAAUUGUGUUCAGAAAACAACUAGAGUCAAAAGUCAAAUUUUCGUUUCUUUGCUGUUCUUGUCUAAAGACAAUUCUGCUGACAAAGAAGUUCGAAAGAAAAUAUGCUCACAAUUUGGCAGGGCAAACCUCCUUGCUAAAAAUUAAGAUAAGAAAAAAAGUCAAUUCAUUUUCUCCUCAUGUUUACUAUUAUCUUAUUAAAUUAAAGGAAACCACGCUUAUAAAUUAUAAUCACUUAUAUAAAAAAUGCAACGGCAAUUUUCUCCAUUAUUUGGGAAAAAGAGGAAGGGGGAAAAAGGAAGAAGCUUAUUAUGUUCUGUAGAAAAAGGAAAGAAUUGAGAAAUAUAAUAGGUUUCGGUGAUAUUACAACUUGUAGUAGCAACUUGGUUCUCUCUCUCCCCGUGCAAGUGUGGCUUAAGUCAAUCACAGCUCACAGAUGCCCAUUGAUGUCCAUUGCUCUGUUUUUAAACUCAGACCGAACCGAUCGAAGAACCGACCAGUUGGCCGGUUCGAGUUAAUCCUAAAACUGGAAAAUAAAAAACUCAGUCAAACCAAGUCAAAACUCGGAUUUGACCGGGUUUUGAAGCGAUUUGACCGGAAAAAUGAACCCGAUCUUUUUUUUUCUUUUUUUGAAAGGUCAGAAUAUUUUUAAUAUGAUGUUUUGAUCCUUAAGUUGUUAAAAAUUAUUAACAUAUAUCAAAUAUUUCAUACUUUAUAAAUGUUGUCUUAAAGUUUGGUGUUAUUUUUCAAUUAAUUCCAUAAUUUUAAUUCUAAACUUGUUAAUGCUUAUUAAAUAAUAUAAAUUGCUACUUGAUUGCUCUAAUUUAUUUGUAUUUUCUUAUUAAAUAUAUUUGAAACAUCAAAUAUAUAUGAAUAUACCUUUAUUAAUAUUAACAUGUUAUUAAGUAUUUUACAUAUAAUAUUUUAAUUUUAAAUAAAUUUUAUUUAUGACGUCAUCCGGUUUAACCCCAUUCGAGCUCAGUUGAACCCAUUGACCCCUGACUCCUGACCCCUGAGCUCGACUGGGUCGAUAUCCGGUCCGGUUCUGAAAACAUAGGUCCAUUGUUGAAUUAGUCUCCCUGAAAAUUUCUAGCCAUAAGAAUUUUAACAUUUUUUUUUAGUUUAAGUGAAUUGUCUCAAAAUGGGAUCGCUCACUUCCAUUUCCUCUCUUCAUAUCAUCCAACUUAUUCCUCCUCCAAAUUUCAACUUGCUACUCCAUUACAUACUUCAUGGAUCUAUAUAUAUGUUCUCAGCAAUGUGAUGUCAUACUUCUAGUUCUAGAUACAUUCAAAAGCCAUGGAUAGUCGAUCAUUUGGACAAUUGUAGUUUAAACAACUAAGAAUUAGUGCACUCAAGGAUAAAAUUCAUUUUGAAAUAUCUAGUUCAUUGAAAACAUAUGGUCCUUAAUUUUUGUUUGGAUUUUGACGAUAUACAAGUCUGAAAUUCUAGAAAACAAAGAAAACUGCCAUCCUUGAACAAUUCUUUAGAGAUUUUUUUUUCUUUUUAUUUUUUGAGCAAAUGAAACAUCUUCCCGUUUAUCAUUGGAACAUAAGCUUUACAAAGGAGCAAAAUCUCUUACUACAACAAAAAAUCUGUAGCGAGCUAUUUUCCUUACUAUGAGGAGCUUUAGGCCAUAAGAGACAAGUCAGGUUGAACAAUUUUAACCACUGCUGAUUUAAUAAAAUUUGGAGUGAAGCCCUCCAACGUGUACAGGGUUUGUCUUUCCAAAAAAACAAAAACAAAAAACAAAACCGCUGCUGCAACUACUUCCAUUAUCAGCAUUCUGUAUACGAAAAUCAACAUUUAGUCUUUCCCAAAUUUAGUAUAUUUUAGUGCAAAAUUGAAAAAAUUCUCUUGGCGCAAGUGGAAAAUUGUAGAUUUGCAAUCAAUUACAAGUUUUCCUAGAAAAUAGAUGCCCAGUGAUCAACUAUGGCGCUUCAUAGUUCAGCUUUUCCAUUCUCAUACGUAGGAGUUAAUCAGAAUUUUCUAUGACAAAAAAAAAAGGAAGAAGAUUCAUGAAGAAAAAUAAUCUAUUGGCUGUACUUUAUUUCGAUUUAGACAUCAAUAGUGCAAUGGCAAAAGGACUUUGUAGAUGAACCUAGUUGAUGUAAUGAAUUUAUGAUGAUUUAAUUAACUAACAACGCAAUCAAUUCGGUCUACUAAAUGUCAUACUCAAGAGGUCAUCAUCUUUGUCAAAGGGUCUAUACAUUCCAUACAUUAAUAGUAAAUGUUAGUGGAUUUGUUACUAUUGCUGACCAUGUUAGCCACUGAUUUCUAUUAAAUCAUGUCUUUAGCUUCUUAUAAGCUUCUCUAUACCCUACCUAAUCUCAUACCAUUUUACUUUCUUUUGGAUUAUGCGGAAUGCCUACUUGACUGCCGGAUGCAAUGCCUAUAUUUUAAUGAUUCCGGUACAUUUUCAAAAUCUUCAAUUUAUUUUGUAAAGUAUCGAAGUUCAGUUCACUAAUUGGCCAUAAAAACACAUCAAUAGCAAAGCUGAAAUAUGCCACUUAUCCUGAGACUUUGCAGAAAGUUUGGAAUGUUAAUGUUGUCCCUUGUAAUCCGACUUAUCCGAUUAUGUGAAACUGAAGUUGUUGAAGGGUGAGAUGAGUUUUUCACUUGUAUACAAGCUGUUUAAUGGGGUUUUCAAUAAAAACUUUAUCAUUUGCUCCAAAAAAAAAAAAAAGAAGAAGAAUAAGGGUGAGUUGAGGAAGCUGAAUGCUAAGCAAUAUAGUUCUAUUAGUGAUAGAAUAAACAGGUGUGUAUGGCCAGUUAUGUGAAGUGCAAUCCUUUUCCUUCAUUCACCUUUUGAUAUCUCUUUGCAAUUUCAAGAACAAUCUCAGAGUAGUUGUCUCAACUAGGAGGCGACCAGCUAGGAUUUAUGUUUACUUUACGGGCCAAAGAUAAGAAUGAGAUCUUCUGGCCUGGCCACGUCUUCUUCUUCUUGGUUUUUUUUUUUUUUAAUUCUUCUUAUAGAUCUUUCAGGCGAGUAAGCAACCUUUUGGGGAAAUAAUGUGGUAUAUUUGGACAUUGGGAUAAUUUAACAAAUCUCCUCUGAGUUUUAUAACAAAUUCAUCAUAGUUCCCCUCAAAUUAUGACAUGACGCUUGUGUCUAUUAGCUAUUGAUUUCCAAGGUAAAUACUGAAUUUUACCUCUACGUUUACCAUUGACACUUCUAUACAAAGCGAUACAAAUUAUAUAUAAGAGAUUUGUGAAAAUGUUAUACUUCCGAGCUAUAACUCAUAAACAAAUGCAUUCGUAAAACCCUUUUGAUUCAAAUAUAUAGAUAUACUCAACUAUACAUUUAACAAUUUAAUGUGUGCUAAAGUGAGUAGAAUAGGCUUUUGAAAAGGUACUCAAAAGUAUGCUACUUCCAUCAUUACCUUCUAGCACGCAUUGUGCAAACUCUUUUCAAAUAGAAAAAAGGGAACGGAAAGGAGAUACAAAAAAGGGCUACAAAUUCUUUAAAAUAUGGCAAGGGUAAGCAUGGAAGUAACAUAUAACAUGAAACAAACAUAUUGUUAAGGAAACCUUAAAUCAAGAGAGGUAACAGUAAGUUUGAAAACUUUGGUGCAGCUAAAUGAAGUCAAAAACCUUAAACAAGGUUGAUGGAAUUAUCCUUUGUAAACUUUAUGUGUCCCUGGCCAAGUGAAAAAAUACUGUUCAAAAUUCUUAUUUCUAUCGGAACCAUUUCGAGGAACUCCAAUUCGGAUGUCAACACUAAAGGAAAUCUUCCCUAUGGUACAACUGAUUUUGAAAUUAACUAAUUAUUUAUAUAUUUUUUUGGAAACGAUAACUAUUGUAUAAACUAAUCUAUCCUACAUUAAAGGGAAGGGGGCAAACCUAAAGAGGUCCAGGGAUAUAUAGGAAGCAAAUGCAUUGUAUAUAGGAAGCUGAAAACCGAACAAGACUUUAUUAUUAGGUUAUCAGUAUUAUUGGUCGUAUCCAAGUGUCAUCAUGUUUUGUUUAUUCAAGUGUCAUAAUGUUAUUGAUAGUAUAAUUGGGUUGCAUGAUUAUGGUUGAAAGCGUGGAAUAUGCGAUUAAACUCCGUGUUAGGAGUACUGGUUUUGCUGUGGGUUUUUUCGUUUUCUUUGUCGCCUGCAUGGGGGCUUUAGAGCAUAAGCUUUUGUUUUGUUUCGAAACAUCACUGCCAAAAUUGCCAAUAGCAUAUCGAAACAUGAACACAAAAUGAAAGAUGUGAGGAAACUUUAAUGAAGAUAUGCCUUGAGAUUUAAACACCAAAGACAAAAGCUCGAAAAAUAUGAUCAAGGGAUCAAAAUAAGAACAUGCGUGUUGAUAAAACACUCCAACAAGUUAAGUCGAACCAAGGUCAACAUAAUCAAUUAUUUGAUUUCAAGAGUCAUAACUUUUGCUUGUAAAGAACAAAUAAAGUUAAGCAAUUUAUUGCUUUUUCCCCCCAAUCAGCUGUGUACCUCAACAUUAUUUCACGUCAAAAACUUGUUUUUCCUCGGACUAAAAACCCUAGCAUCUGAGGUUAUCACCAGUCUCGACACCCAAUUGUCUACAAUAUUCAGUAUAAUACUCAACUCGAGCACUAACUGUGUUUGGAUUUGCACCAUCACAUUCAAGCUGACCAUUAAUGGCACGAAUUGUAGCCCCAAAACCCUGGCCAGAAGUGAUAAGAUCAUGACAAUGGUUCAUCCAAUACCACAAGCCAGUUUUGAAUGAAAUAACAUUAUUUGUAGCUACAGUUUCAGGUUGGCUGAGUCCAUUGAAUCCAAUGCUUUCACCUGCUGGUCCAUAGUUAAAGUUCCAUGAUAACUGUAUUGGACCCCUGCCGUAAUAUCCCUUGCCUGGCACACAUGGAUACUGAGUGUUGCUCUCAUCACAGUAAUCUCUGGAGGGGCCGUCUAUCUCUUCUAUGUAGCACAAAUCUGCGCAAUAUAAAGAAAUUUUGUCACUCAAUUGCAAUGAUUGAUAAAGGGUUAAUAUCAAAGAAAAUCAGCAGGUCUGGAAUUUUUUGUAAAUUUUUAGAUUUGAUUGUUUUACUGAUGAAUUCAAUUGGUGAGAAAAGACUUUAUCCCAUUUUGUAAAAAUUGGAUUGGACAGACUUAAAGUAAACACUCUUUUUAUGAGGUAAAAUUUUAGAAUGAUUUAACAUUAUAGGGUUAUACGAUAGAUAAAUAAAAAUUGGCAAUAGCAAGAUUAAGAAGGGACCAACAGUGAUAUAAAAAUUACAAAGGUAUCAUGGACGUCUAAAAUAUAUUUGGCUAAUAAAUUUGAACUAAUUUACGGCCAAAUUUAGGUGAAAUAGUUAAUUCUACUUGGUAAAUUGGAAGUUCGGAAACGUGUAUCUGUCAGUUGUCAUACUCAUGAGCGAGCCAAUCUUAACUUAAAAAAGAAAAAGAAAAAAAGAAAAAGAAAAAAGGAAUCCAAAAGAUAAAAGUAGAAAAGGCAUGAAUUUUAAAACGUAAUCGUAAUACCUUGUACCCGAAACAAAUAUGUGCAAUACUUAUUAAGCUAAGCAAAGCCACAUGAUCUACUCUUAGAUGCAGCAAAAUAUACAACCACCUUAAGCUUGGAAUGUAAAGGCAGAAAAACUUGCUUAUGUAGAUAUAAAAGUGACCACUACAAGAAAAGUAAAAAGAAUAUGGAGAUACUAAUCCUUCUGUUCAUCAUGAUAAAUUAUUUAACAGUAAUAAAUCUUUCAUAUUCAAGUUUUAUUUUUUGAAGAAAAAAUUCUUGGAUAAUAGUGCACAGGAGAUUCCAAGAUAUACUAUCUAGAAAUUCACAGGAGCUACUAAAAAAGUAGAAAAUAUCUUCAAAAUUUAAUUUCCAAGCUAGUGUUAUUCAAAACUUACGUCGAGUCUCAUGAGUGACAUGAGCAAAGAAAGCAGCAAUCUCCCUUUUAGAAUCAUCAACAGAACCAACGGUUCCAAACUGGGGAUACGAAUUCAGAGCUUCAAGAAAAGCUGAUCGAGUAUAGAACCCUUUUCCAGCACAGCUUGAAGCAGCUUGAUCAGCAAUCCCAUUAAAGAAAGCGUCCGUCACAAUAUCAGCAACUGAAACGCCACUAUUACCACUGCUCGGAGCAGCAGUGCAAGGGCCGGAUUGACAGCCAGAGCCACAGUAGUCGUUGCCGGUACCGCAAUAGCCGAAUUUGCUGCAGCACAAGUCUGGUGCACAGCCGCAGUUUUGGCUUGAAAUCAGCUGUGGAAAGGCUCCUGCAAGAACUACAAUGGAGAAAAUGAUGGUUGGAAAACUCUUCAUUUUUGGAUUUGAUAAAGGAGAGAAGCUUGUGGGCAGAAGUUGUAUCAGAAAAAAGGGUAUAUAUAGGGAAGAGAACUGAAAACUGAUCAGCUUGUGUGAAGCAUGCACAGCUGUUAUUGUUGAAAAUAUUAAAUUUGAGCAAUUAAAGAAAACAGAACAGAAGACGAAAGCGUGAAUGGUUGACAUCUAUCGAGUGUAUUGACUUUGACAUUGUCAAUGAAGCGGAAACUUUCUUUCUUGGUUUCUAGAAUGGGAAAGGUCAAAAAGAAAGAUUUUGGCCAAUUCGUAUGAACAAUUGUGAGAAUAAGGCAUGUAGACUCACAAGUCCCCACUAUAAUGUGUGCAAAAAUAUAAUUUGAAGUUGCCUAAAUCAUUUAAUUUCAUGCUUGUUAUUGAGUUUAUUUGCCUAACUGUGUUUUAGUAAUACUUCAAAAUUGUGUUUGAGUUAGAACGGAAAAAAAUAUGAGACAUACUUAUUUUUUUAAUUGCAAUUCCAGAAAUAAAAUCUUAUAAAACAUGUAUUAGAAAAAUUUUGAGGGUAAAUGAUAUGAAAAAAAAAAAAAAGAAAUAGUUCUAUAAAUUGACAUAAGUGUUCAUCGGCUUUUGGAAAAAUUAAGAAAGAAUAAAGCAGCCGACAUAUAUAUCAUGCAUAACAACAUUAUGUGGCUUUUGUUAGUACACGCUAUGACCAUAUAUGUUUCAUUUGAGAUGCUUGUCGGACGUGUUGAAUUGUUGGCAAUGAAAUGCUCCAAAAUGUCAGCACUAUAGUUUAUAAAUAGUAUUAGGUCAUACUGAAUUAUCGACAUAUCGUUACAUGCAGAGUCGUGAAAAUAUACAAGUCUUUCCCUAUCAUUAAUUAGUUGGUCAAAUGACAAUUUUAGAGUGGCUGCUGACUAUGUCAAGAAACAUCUUGCAGUAAAUUGGGCGAGUUAAUGUACUUUUCUUUUUCUAAAUAUUUGCACUUAAACUCUCAAAUCGACCAUAGUUUUAACUAAUUUUGCUCUGGCUUUAUUCUUGAUUCGCAAAAUUCAGAAAAACCAAAACAAACCCUUGUUACUGAAGAUAUCAAAAUGGUAACCCAACUAAGUAAUUGAUUUUGAAAAACAUUCUGAACCAAAUUUCAAGUUUUGGUUUCUUUGCUCUUUUUCUACUGAAAGGCAACUUCCCCGGGCCAAGAAAUUUAUGAUGCUUAAGUUUUCUAUCCUCUUAUGAUCAAGUCAAACCAUGCUUAUAAUCAAUUACAUAAAAAAUUACGGGCAAUUUCGUCAUUAUUUGGGAGGAGGAGGAAUAUUAAGCAAAAAAAAGUUCUAUUAAGAAAACGAUGAAGCAUAUUAUUUUCCAGGAAUAAAAAAGAACGAGCAGAGAAAUACAUUAGUUUGGAUGACAUUACAACAUUUAGCAACAUGAUUAGGGAUGCAAUGGGAUGGGUGCCAAUUGGGAAUCAAUGGGAUGGGAGAAAAUGCAGGAGGGGAUGGAGGCAUUGGAGAAUAUUUCUCCUCCAACAUUAAAUGGAUACCUCCAUCCCAUCCCCUAAAACCACUUGUUGCUAUUCCUAAACAGGAUGCUACUUAUAUCCUCUCUCUAUGAGCAUGUGUGGCUAGUGAGGAAUGCAGGAUUUUGAUUUUGGCGGGGGGAGGGUGGGGCAAAUUGACAAUCAAGAAACAACAGAAAAAAAAAAACCUUAGCAAGUAAAGCACACAAACUUAAAAUGAAAGUUUAAUAUACGAUAAAUAAAAUAUAAAUAUUUUUAAUAAUAAAAUACACUGUAUAAAUAAAAUGAUAGAGCAAUAAUUGGGCACCAUAAGUGCUGUUAUUUGGUCAUAAUGUUGGCUACUUAUCAUGCAAAGUAGUGCAGCUUUGCUCAUAUUUGAUAUUUGUGUAAAUUAUAGGCGGUUGGUGUUGAAGGUGAUCUCUCAAGGCAAAUUUUCAGAAGACUUUUUAUUUCAGCGCGUACCCACGCUAGAAACCACAAAGAGACUCCUCAAAGGUGGACGCUGCUGGAAGUGCGUUAAAACAAAAAGGCAAUAAUUUCCAGCGAAUUGGGUAACAACCAAUAAGGAGGAAAAUUAGGGGCACUAGUCUACAAAGCCGGACCCCGCGAGACUAGUAGACAAAGUGGGGAAUUAGGAAGUCUUCAAAGCGGCUAUUUUCUCGUGGGCUGCAGAGGUGAAAAGGACAAGUAGUUUGAGUCUUGCAGAGAGCCUUUGAGUUCUCUUACGUUUUGUCUUGCAGCGGCCACUCGGGGGAGGAUUGAAAAAGCCAGAUUCACGUGGGAUUAGGAGAUUAGCUUUAGUUUCUUGUAUCCCUGGGUAGACGAUCUGCUCUCUGUUUUGCUUUUGACGACUUUCUUUAGACCUUUUUCUUUACUUUUCUCCAGCACGAACACGAAACCAAAAAAGAAGCAAGACUUUUCGUUUGUCUCGUCGUUAUUUCAUCUUUCCCAACUUUUUGGUAAUUAAGUGGAUGGAAUCAAUCAAAUCACGCGAGAUUGAUGUGAUGAGGAGCGGUUAGGUUUCUCUGCUACCCAAAGGUCAACGCGAUGGCGCAGUCCAUAACAUCUGUGAGAUCUAAUCGAACUUUCACUAUUUCUCCCAAUCCAUUACUAUUCGUGUGUUUCCUAGAUUAACUGUGUAUGGUUAUUUUAUUAAUUGAGUAUCAACAGCCGGAUAUUUAAUUUAAUCUAAUAGCCUACUGUCGCGUUAACUAAAUUGAAUCCGUAAUUGUUCGUUUAGUUGAUAAUUAGUGACAACCAUCAUAAUUGGCUUUAUGUUUGGGAAACGUAAGAUCUAAUUUAAAUAAACCCUCUUAGCGUAUUUAUUGGUUAGGGUUGGAUUUUUCUAGCGUUAAUGCAACUCAAUAAUUAAAUUCCUACGGUCGUAACUAGGGUUAUUUUCUGAUUAGAGAAGCAGUCAACGGUCGUACCUUGGUUAUCGAAAAAGUAAGAAAAAACUGGCAGUCAGAAUUUGUUGAUAGCUAUAACCAACCUAGUGACGAAUGAGUGAAAUAUUUUUGCAUCGAUGAUCAUUUAAUUGGACCGUGCCUGAAAAGUUGAUCCUUUGGGUAGAAUUUUGUUAAUUACUUUUUUUAGUGAAUUGUACUUGGCGAGUUAGCUUUUGAAUUUUGUUUAUUUUAUUUUAAUUUUCAUUCCAUUAAAUAUCCCCCAAUUUUGUUUUAUUGACUUGGAAAGAAACAACUUCUUACCCGUUACUUGUGGAAUCGACCCUACUUGCCAUUUUCAGAAACAACUUCUUAAAUUUUAAUCCUUAUGAAACCCAGCUUCUCUCUCAAUUUUCAGAGGUUUCUUUUCCUUCAUUAUGUCAAAGUUGCUAUUAUAAUAACUGUAAUUAGACAGCUAAACCUAUCAUUCCAAUUAUACCCUUGGUCCGUCGUGGGAAAUACAUAAAAUGUGGUGGCGCUACCCAAUAAAUCCCACAUUGAACCAGAUAAAAUUGUUUAAGGACUAAAUUGGUAAAAAAAAUCGUAAAUGAUGAAAUUGAUUUAAGUGAAAAAGUUCAAGGACCAAAUUGAUGAUUUUUCCGUAUUAUUAUUAUUAUUAUUAGUCUGAGAUGCCGAACAAGUUGUGGAGACUUAUUUCACCUUUACAAGGUCAUUGGAGGGCUUGACGAGGUGCGAUGUGGUAAGGAAAGGCACAAAAAACUCUUUUUUCUUUAUUAAAAAACAUACAAAUUGCACUAAUAAUGGCUGAAAAUGCAUCCAACAUGCAAUAGUGAAAAAUCAUUAGAUGCAAGAUAUAUAAAAGUUAGCAAAAAUUAUCUUAUUACCUCUGAUAUAUUCCAAAUUCAGAUAAAUCAUCUGCCCCCAAUGAAUAUAUGUGCAUAUCAUCAUUGUCAAUAAAUAUUUAUGCAUAUCAUUGCCGUUAGAUUUUAUAUUGAAGUGGUUCAAGCUCCAAAUCUAGUUUUAGACUUGAGAAAAUAAGUUAAGAAAUUCAAGAUUUGACAUACAAAUCUGAAAAGCUCUCAAAUCUAACAAAACAAGAUAUAAAAUUAUCUAAAUAAAACUCUCACUAGGAUAUCUUAGUAGAGAAGAAAAUUCUCACUAGAAAGUCUCACUAUAAUUUAUUCGACAUAAAAAAAAAGAGAAGUCAAACAGAGGGAGGAAGGCAUUCCUCCAUGGAGGACAAAAUAAUUGUCUUGAAGGUUUUGUAGAGAGAUGGUGGAGAAACUUCUUUUGUUUUAUCCGUUGGAUAUCUUUCUAAUUGUUAGUUAACGAACAAUAAACUCUAAAUGAAACUACUAAAUUUGCAACCGAAGACAUUUUUGUUCUUGUAUUUUAGUAUCGUAAUCGUCACCCAAUCAGAGCCGCCCAUGACGGCUUCAUUAAAUAUAUAAUUUGGGAGAACCAAGAUUUGAGGCCAAAUUUCGGCAAUCUUCAAGGCACUUUAUUGUUUUCUCACAAAUUUUGUUUAUUUAUUGUAAAAGAUUAACUUCAAAGUGUCCUCAAAUUUCUUCCCUAUUUUCUCUCAAACUUUACCCGUGAAAAUUGUUUGUCUUCAUCUCAUUGAUUGUCUCCCCCAGUGCAUACAAAUGUAUUAUGGGCAUUUUGGUGAAAGAAAGGCAUAAACCACAACUAAAUUUUGCCAAUAGCAUAUGAAAAUAUGAAGAAGAAUAAUAAUAAAUGAAAGAUCUGUCUAACAGGUGUCCAUAGAGCGUCAUUAAAAUAUAUCUCAGGCGUCAUGCUUUUGGAAAUGUAAAAUUAAUUAGAAAAAAUAAAUAAAUACAAGAGACAGUAGAUAAAAUUAAAUAAGAAAAAUAUAUAAAUGCAAGAAAGGUUAAUAAUUGUUAAUAGAUGUAUAUACAUGAUAGAUUAGAUGAACGUUAAAUAUGUUAACGAGUGCCUUAUUAGCAACCGUUAAAAAAAAUCCAUAAAUGAAAGAUGUGAUCACCAAAUCAUUGACAAAGAAAUGUGUUGAAAAUGAAACAAGAAAGUCAAACAUGAUAAGGGAUCAAAAAUAGAAUUUAAUAAUUGCAGAUACUCCAAGAAGUUGAGUUGAAAUCAGUUAUCCGAUUUCCAAUUCACAACUUAUGCUGUCAAAGAACUACAAAGGUACUCAACUUCUGCAAAUUUUUAUUAGUUUCGAAGCUCUUACAAGUACCCUAGCACCUGAGAUCAACACCCAACUGGUCACAAUAUUCAGUAUAAUACUCAACACGAGCACUAACAGCGUCCGGAUUUGCACCAUCACAUUCAAGCUGUCCGUUAACGGCACGAAUUGUAGCCCCAAAACCCUGACCAGAAAUGAUAAGAUCAUGACAAUUGUUCAUCCAGAACCACAAGGCAGUUUUGAAUGAAAUAACAUUAACUGUGGCCACAGUUUCAGGUUCAUUUAGUCCAUUGAACCCUAUGCUUCCCCCUGCUGGUCCAUAGUUAAAGUUCCAUGAUAUUUGUAAUGGACCCCUGCCGUAAUAUCCCUUGCCAUGCACACAUGGGUACUGAGUGUUGCUCUCAUGUGACAGUCCCACCUCCACCUGAGGCGAACCAAAGGGUUCGGCGGACUGCCUGCCCAGCUCUCGCCGGAACUCAGUCGUUCCUCAAGCAAAUCCGGAAUGCAACAAAAGGAAUAACAUACAACAAUCCAAAACUUAAGCGAAACUUAUAUACAUUGCUAUCUCAAAAGGAAGUACAACCAUCAAAUGUACAAAGGUUCUCACUUCACCAUACAACCAGCCCGUGCCAAGCACUAGGGCGAGAACCAUUACAAAACCAAGAGCUAGACCAAGCUAGUCUAUUCCAAGCUCUCAUCCUUGCGUGCCUUCCCCUGUUAAGGAAAACAAAACUAAAGGGAUGAGCUAAAAGCUCAGUGAGGUUCUGAACAUAUGAUCAAGCCAUAAAUCAAACAAUAAGUCAAGAAACAUUUACAAUAGAAAGUGAUAAUGACACAUACAAUAAAAGGAUACGUUCGUUCGUUCGUUCGUUCGUUCGUUUGUUCUCCGGUCAUUUCCCUUCUUCCUUCAAUCUUUUGAAAUGCAUUUUUCUUUUGUAAAUAAAACCCUCAUUCGUUCUUUUGUUUCAUUCACCCCCCUCCUGGACGUUGGCCAGGCUCCACCAACCUCCACCAACCUACAAGGUAAUACUCGAGUAUACCAACGCUCACACCCAGGGUCACCAUAUCGCCCGACCGAAUCCGCUUCUGGACCGAGUCCGCUUCUGGCUCGAGUCGAUCGGUAACGAAGGGCAGGGCCCAAUUCAGCCAAAAGGCUUACAUCAUGCACAACUAAUGUAUCAAUCAUUAGAUCGUUGAAAAUUUCACAUUUCUUUAGGACGAGUGCGAUAAAGUACACACUCGCUUAGAAAACUCGUUUUGGAAAUCAUUGAAAGCACUUAACACGUUAUCAAACAAUAAUACAAGUCAUGAAGGCAAGAAAAUACAACAAACAAGGAACACUCACCUAGUUAUGCAAAAUAACGUGCAAAAUAUCCUUCCGGAUAUGACCCUUAGUCACCGAGAAAACCUAAAAUUAAACGAGAGAGAAUAUUACAGUUCAUCGAGCAAACAAGUAAGUGAAAUCAAAGAAAAACCGGCAAAUGAUAAGUAAAACAUAUAAAGACGCCUUUAUAGUGAAAAGGGGAUAUUUGGAUCGGAGGACAGAAAUAACUAGGGUUUCAUAAACCAAACGCAAAAUGAACUCAAACGGGUUAUAAAAUGUCCUGCGGAAAACACUUGGACCAAAGACAACUCGGACUCCAAUGAGAUAGGCUAAAAUAUUGUUUUUGGAAUCGUUUAGAUAGUUCAAAAUCAACUCAUACCCAAGCAGCUAGUAUAGACUAAACGUCAUGAUAUAAAAUGGAAAACCGGUCAUGGUAUUGGCCAAACAAAAGUAUACAAGUUCAAAUAGAAACUUAGCCCUCAAGCGAAAAUUUGGGCAGCACGCCCUUUGUAUUUACCUAUUUCCCAGCCAUUUAUGGCUUCAUUAUUUCCUCAAUCAAUCCCAAAGUCAUGCACAAUAUAAACUCAUUAUAAUCAAGCUAAUGACAUGUGCGGAAAUGAAGUUUAGUUUGGAAAACAAAAGACAGUUUUAACGUUACUGAGCGGAACAGACGUAACAGGAGCUACACUUAUCGGAUUGAGGUGUAAUGUACACCGUUUCGAAGCUAGGAGAAAGGGGUACAAUGUUGAAGAAGGCCACUCAGUCCAGUUUGCAAUGUAUCUAGGUCAAAUUUACCAAAAUAUCCCCAGGUUUUCCAAUUCGAAGUUUACUGUGGCAGUCCUGAUUCAUUCAGUCAUCUCUCAGCAUAUACAACUCCAAUUCAAGUGAUUCCAAAGCCAUUUAAAAGCUAAGAUACAAGGAUAUAAGUCUUAAGAAGACAUUGACAACCAAAUCAGUAGUAUUCCUGGUCAAAACAACCAAUUACAGAAGCUGAUUAGCAUGUUCGGGUAGAAACAGGGCAGCAGGGGUAUUUCAGUCUUUUCAUAGGCAACAUUGCUCCGAUUGGCCUGAAAUUUUUCAGACAACUAUAAAACAUCAUUAUCUACAACUUUCAUGUUUUAACCUAAGGCUAAUUCGGCCUCUAACUAGGUCCAACAGUGCCGGGAAGAAUAGUGAGAAAUUGGAACCCUAACCUGGAAAUUUCGGUUCAAAGCAGAAAUUUUCCGCAAAUAGCUACAAUUUACACACUAAGGCUUCAUUCUAAACCAUUCCCAACCAUCAUACAUGGCCACACAAUAUUCAUCAUAUUAAAACAGAAAAAUCAUGAAUAAAUGUAAAACUUCACCAAUUUCUAUCAAAAAUCAUGAAACAACACCUAAAGUUAUCUCUUUAACUCACAUAAGGUACCAAUUGAGCAUUAAUAGGAUCAAAGGGAAGGUUCCUUGGUCACAUACCUUGCAAACCCAAGAAAAGAUCCAAUUUAACACCUUGGCCUUCCAAACCACUUCACAACCAACCUUAACACCACUAAACUAAGAGGUUUUAUGGAGUAAUUUGAAUAUUAAACGGUUGGAAUGAAAGAUUGAGCAAGUUUAGAAGUAAGAAAGUGGAGAGAUUUUUCUUCUUUUCUCAAGAAAGAGGGCCGGCCAAGAAGCUUUCAAUUUUGGAUGAAUUUUGGGCAAUUUUUUGAUUUAUUUGGUAAAGUAAUGAAUAGUGGUCAAAAUGUAAGAAUAAAUCUCCAAGUGACACUUGUCACUUCAAUUAAUACAUGGUUAUCCUUUUGUCCUCUCACACCAAUCCAUUUAGUAGCCUCUAGUUAUCUCUUAGCACCUAGUAAAUUAAUCUCAGUAUCCCAAACUUAACCUAAUUGGUCGAAUUUCACCGAACUUUCCGCACUAGCGGGUCCCACGUCAAUACUACACUUCAAAUUUAACGUACACUAACUUAUAUCAAGAAAAUAAUUUGAAAACUAUAUUCACUUAUAAAAAUGUAUAGAAAAUUAAUAUAUUGAAGAAAAGUAUAAAUUUAUAGACAGGAAAUAAAAUAAUGUCUAGAAAACAUAUAAAAUUUUUCCGGGUUCUCACAUCUCAUCACAGUAAUCUUUGGAGGGGCCGUCUAUCUCUUCUAUGUAGCACAAAUCUGCGCAAUGUAGAGAAGUCUGUAUCAAUUAUCACUGUAUUCAAUUGCAUAUAUGAAAGCCAUUGAUACAUCAUGGAUUUUAGAUGUUUUUACUAUUAAAAAAAAUAUAAUCUAAAUACAAAAAUAAAUGAGAAAAUAAAAAAAUUGAUUAUUUAAAAUCAGAAUCUAUAGUCAGUUAUAAUAAUCAAUCAAGAACAACCCCAAAACAAUGUCAUCAAUAAUUAAGAAGGGACCAUAUGUUAUAAAGAUAUUGUAAAGUUACAUGUAAUCACAGACUAAAUAAAUAACCAAUACAACAAAGUAGAAAAGAAAAAGGAAAACAAUAACCCCUCUGCCCAGUUAUAAGAGACACACCCUCAUGAUAAAUUUCUUUUUUUUUUUAGGUGGGUCAUUUUAAGUUAUUUGACUUUAGUAAGUAUUUCAUAUUAAUGUCGUUAUCUUUGAAGAAAGCUCAUGGACAACAGUGCACAGGACAACAUCCUAUGUAGAACUGUACAAAGAUUUAGUAAAUAGGAUCUCAGACUUAGAAAAGUUACUAAAAAUUUCAAAAAAAAAAAACUAAAUCUCCUUGGUGGAGUUGUUCAAAGCUUACGUCCAGUCUCAUGAGUCACAUGAGCAAUGAAGGCAGCAAUCUCCCUUUUAGAAUCAUCAACUGAACCAACUGUUCCAAACUCAGAAUACGAAUUCAGAGCUUCAAGAAAUGCCGAUGCAGUAUAGAACCCUUUUCCAGCACAGCUUGAAGCAGCUUGAUCAGAAGUCCCGCUCAAGAAAGCGUCUGUCACAACAUCAGCAACUGAAACACCAUUAUUACCACCAUCUGAUGCAGCGGUGCAAGGGCCGAACUGGCAGCCUUUGCCACAAUAGUCGUCGCUGGUGCCACAAUAGCCCCACUGGCUGCAGCAUAAAUCUGGUUCAGAGUCACAGUUUUGGCUUGAAAUCAGCGGGGAAAAGGACCCUACAAGAACCAAUGUUUUCAGGACCGACCGCGGCACCAAUCCGGUCCAGUAUCAAACCCGGAAGCUAGUGGAAAACUGCUGGAAACCGUGUGAAUCGCUAAAAACUUGAAACAAUAACCUCACAUUCAAAACAAUAACAAGAAUGGAGGCUAUUGGGAUUCGAACUCUAGUCUUGAUGACCAUAAUAAGGUAUGCUUACCACUAAACCACAACUGAAGGACAAGCUUUUGUUAUGUAGAAUUUUACUUAACUUAACAAAAAAACUAAAAUCAGAUUAAAUAAAAAAAACCCUAAAAGACCAAGCUUCACCAAUUAGAUUAAAUUAAAAAAAUCCCUAAAAUUUUUGGCUUUUUUCUUAGUUUCACCAAUUAGAUUUAUAUUUUUUGUAAUAAACUUUUAAAUUUUUUCAGGUUCAAUUGAUGAAAUUGUGAAGGGGAUGCUGUUGCCUUGUUAUGCCAAUGAUGGAAGUUUGUUAUUCGAAUUGUUUGCCUUGAAUAUGAGUUGAACUUUUUAUGGACUUUUUUAGAAUUGUGAAAGAAUGUUAACAUUUAUUUUAUUUAUUUUUGUGUUUUUGUUUGUGAUAAUUGAUGAACAUUUGGACUAUAUCUAUUUAUGUUUGUAAUGAAUUUAUGACAACUUGGAGUGAAUUAUGAUAUUUUAGUUAUAUUUAUCAUUCCAGGUUUCAUGUAUAACUUUUAAAAAAUUUAUUAUUAUCUCAACUUAAAUUUAGAUUUAACUUUUAAGUUAUAUUGGUGAAUGUAUUUUAGGGACUUAAGUUAUUAAUAACCAUGUUAGAUUGUACAUUAGCCGUCAAGUUCCAGUGUAGACUAUAAAGUGAAGACCUGUGAAGUACAAAAAAAAAAAAAACUGUUGAACCGUUGAACCUGUCGGUCGGACCGUGAACCGGCCCCCUCUCCGAUUCGCUGGCCGGUCCGAGAUUAAAAACAUUGACAAGAACUGCAAUGGAGAAAACCAUGAUCAGAAAAUUCUUCAUUUUUGUACUUGAAAAGGGAGGAAAGGAUGUGGACAGAAAUUGUUUGAGUAAGAAGGAUAUUUAUGACAUAGAGAACUGGAAAAGUGAUCAGCUUGUGUGAAGUAUGGAGAACUGCUAUUGUUGGAAAUCUUGAAGUUGAGCACUGAAUGGAAUGGAUAUAAAAAGCAAUAUUAGUGCUUGACUUUCAAUUAACCGAUUGACUUUGGCACUGUCAAAAAGUAGCAACCUUCUUCUUGGCAUUCGGAAUGGGAAUUGUGGAAAAGAAAAAUUUUGGCCAAUUGAUAUCAACAAUUGUGACUACAAGUCACAAGUCACAAAUAUAAUGCGUGCAAAAAAGAUAACUUGAUGUUGUCUGUAUCAUCUGAUGUUAAUGACGCCAAACUCUGUUGUAGUCCUAUUUCAGUCUCGUGUUUGAGUUAGAACACAGAUGAUAUUUGUACCAUUCUAGAUCCACGGGCUGCCCUGCUACACAUACUUUUCAUUUGGCUUAAAAAAAAACAUUUUAAAGGGUGUAAGCUUUACAAUUAAAGCACGAUCUUUACCGUAUCAUGCAAAGUAUUGGACAUAUAAAAUUUUAUCAAACUGUUGUAGUGAAAAGAACUCAAAUGAUCCAAUUUUAUCCAGUUGAUAAAUAUAGAAUCCUAAAUAAAAUGCAUAGUCCUUUUUUUUUCCUUUAGAGUUCUUAUUGCAUACUAUACGAAUUAAUUGGUAAAAUUUUGGUAGCGUAUAGGAAAUGAUACCAAUAUAAAAACUACAUUUACUACUCGAGGGCUUAUUAUGCUGCCCAAUUUUUUGGUCUCUACCAUGAGCUGAAAAAAAAAAAUCUUUUCGACGCAUAAGUUUCCCCAAAUUCUCAUAGACUUUACAAAUGAAAGUUAUUUGUUUCUCGUCGUUCAUUGUCUCACCAUGCGUGUGCAGAUGAAUUAUUGAUUGGCCUUUUGGUGGCAGAAAGAUAAAACAGAAUUGAACCAAAGACAUUAUAAUUCCCUAAUUAGUCUCUUCAGCCAGUUGAAUUAGAUCUUAUUCAAAGUCUUCAGUACUUCGGAUAAUAGCGCUCUAUGUUCCUUAGUCUCUUAUGCUUCGGCUUACUCGCAAUAUUAAUUGCCUUAACAUUGGUGCAUUUAGACCCUUGCAUAUGGUAAUUCAUAAUCUUAGUAUAGUUAUGAUCCUCAAAUAUCAUACCUUGAGAAACAUCACGGCUAAAAUUGCCAAUAGCAUAUUGAAACAUGAAAAGUAAAUGAAAGACGUGAGGAAACUUCAAUGGAGAGACAUGUUGAGAGUGAAACACCAAACCAAAGUCGAAAGCCCGACAAAUAUGAUCAAGGGAUCAAAACUGGAACAUGCCUAUUUGUAAAUACUCCAAGAAAUCGAAACAAGACCAACAAAAUCAAUUAUAUGAUUUCAAAACUUAAACAACUUUCGCUUGUAAAGAGCAAGAAAGGUAAACACCUUUUGCUAAUUUUUAUUAAUUUCCAAUCAGUUUUAAGCCUUUAUAGCUCAACAUACCGAGCACUUUCGGCUCUCCAGAAGUACCCUAGCAUCUGAGAUUCUGACCAGGAUCGACACCCAGUUGGCGACAAUAUUGAGUAUAAUACCCAACACGAGCACUAACAGUGUUUGGAUUUUUACCGUCACAUUCAAGCUGACCAUUAAUGGCACGAAUUGUAGCCCCGAAACCCUGGCCGGAAAUGAUACGAGAAUGACAAUUGUUCAUCCAAAACCACAAGGCAGUUUUGAACGAAAUAACGUUAUCUCUGGCUACAAGUUCAGGUUGACUUAGUCCAUUGAACCCAAUGCUUUGUCCUGCUGGUCCAUAGUUGUAGUUCCAUGAUAUUUGUAGUGGACCGCGGCCGUAAUACCCCUUGCCUGGCACACAUGGAUACUGAGUGUUGCU